UACGCUAACAUGCUAACACAUCAGGACUAUGUCAGGUACGCUACGCUAACACGCUAACACACCAGGACUAUGUCAGGUACACUACGCUAACAUGCUAACACACCAGGACUAUGUCAGGUACACUACGCUAACAUGCUAACACACCAGGACUAUGUCAGGUACGCUACGCUAACACGCUAACACAUCAGGACUAUGUCAGGUACGCUAACAUGCUAACACAUCAGGACUAUGUCAGGUACGCUACGCUAACACGCUAACACAUCAGGACUAUGUCAGGUACGCUACGCUAACACAUCAGGACUAUGUCAGGUACGCUACGCUAACACAUCAGGACUGUCAGGUAUGCUACGCUAACAUGCUAACACAUCAGGACUAUGUCAGGUACGCUACGCUAACACGCUAACACAUCAGGACUAUGUCAGGUACGCUACGCUAACACAUCAGGACUGUCAGGUACGCUACGCUAACACAUCAGGACUAUGUCAGGUACGCUACGCUAACACAUCAGGACUAUGUCAGGUACGCUACGCUAACACGCUAACACAUCAGGACUAUGUCAGGUACGCUACGCUAACACAUCAGGACUGUCAGGUACGCUACGCUAACACAUCAGGACUAUGUCAGCUACGCUAACACAUCAGGACUAUGUCAGCUACGCUAACACAUCAGGACUAUGUCAGC
Sebastes umbrosus (honeycomb rockfish) is the source of this 681-nucleotide long non-coding RNA. RefSeq lists it as uncharacterized. Lineage: Eukaryota; Metazoa; Chordata; Actinopteri; Perciformes; Sebastidae. The record is from RefSeq and is a predicted model, not a curated record. The transcript is spliced from 3 exons.